Molecule: ribosomal RNA, 402 nt
Filed under: uncultured bacterium
Lineage: Bacteria
Description: bacterial SSU rRNA
Rfam family: Bacterial small subunit ribosomal RNA
Source: RNAcentral
AGCGAACGUUAGCGGCGGGCCUAACACAUGCAAGUCGAGCGAAGAAAGUGGGCUUCGGCCAAUCAGUAAAGCGGCGGACGGGUGAGUAACACGUAGGUAAUCUUCCCUUGAGCGGGGGACAACGUUUCGAAAGGAACGCUAAUACCGCAUACGUUUCCAGGGACUCUGGUCUUUGGAAGGAAAGCUAGGUCGCAAGAUCCGGCACUCGAGGAGGAGCCUGCGUCGCAUCAGCAGUUGGUGGGGUAACGGCCUACCAAGGCGAAGACGCGUAGCUGGUCUGAGAGGAUGAUCAGCCACACUGGGACUGAGACACGGCCCAGACUCCUACGGGAGGCAGCAGUGGGGAAUAUUGGACAAUGGGCGCAAGCCUGACGCAGCGACGCCGCGUGAGGGACGAAGGCC